AGAGACCGAUAGCGCACAAGUAGAGUGAUCGAAAGAUGAAAAGCACUUUGGAAAGAGGGUUAAAGAGCACGUGAAAUUGCUGAAAGGGAAGCGCCCGCGACCAGACGUGGGCCCGGCAGACCACCCGCCGCUCGUCGGCGGGGCACUCCGCCGGGCCCAGGCCAGCAUCAGCCCGGCGCGGGGGACAAAGGCGGCGGGAACGUGGCUCCCCCAGGGGAGUGUUAUAGCCCGCCGCGCAACGCCCCGCGGCCGGGCUGAGGCACGCGCACCGCACGGAUGCUGGCGUAAUGGUCGCCGGCGACCCGUCUUGAAACACGGACCAAGGAGUCGUCCUCGCAUGCGAGUGUUGGGGUGGCAAACCCCCGCGCGGAAUGAAAGUGAACGCAGGUGGGAGCCCCCUCCCGGGGCGCACCACCGACCGAUCCUGACGUCCUCGGAUGGAUUUGAGUAGGAGCAUGCGGGGCCGGACCCGAAAGAAGGUGAACUAUGCCUGCGUAGGGUGAAGCCAGAGGAAACUCUGGUGGAGGCUCGCAGCGGUUCUGACGUGCGAAUCGAUCGUCAAACGUGGGCAUGGGGGCGAAAGACUAAUCGAACCUUCUAGUAGCUGGUUUCCGCCGAAGUUUCCCUCAGGAUAGCAGUGUCGAGGCUCAGUUUUAUGAGGUAAAGCGAAUGAUUAGGGACUCGGGGGCGCCGCACUGCCUCCAUCCAUUCUCAAACUUUAAAUAUGUAAGAAGCCCUUGUUGCUCAGCUGAACGCGGGCGCUCGAAUGGACGACACUAGUGGGCCAUUUUUGGUAAGCAGAACUGGCGAUGCGGGAUGAACCGAACGCGGGGUUAAGGUGCCGGAGUGGACGCUCAUCAGACACCACAAAAGGUGUUGGUACAUCCUGACAGCAGGACGGUGGCCAUGGAAGUCGGAACCCGCCAAGGACUGUGUAACAACUCACCUGCCGAAUGUACUAGCCCUGAAAAUGGAUGGCGCUCAAGCGUCCCACCCAC
Molecule: ribosomal RNA, 998 nt
Filed under: Gibellula aurea
Lineage: Eukaryota; Fungi; Ascomycota; Sordariomycetes; Hypocreales; Cordycipitaceae
Description: Gibellula sp. TMP-2021a partial large subunit ribosomal RNA
Rfam family: Eukaryotic large subunit ribosomal RNA
Source: RNAcentral